This 175-nucleotide unclassified non-coding RNA is filed under the name uncultured Dothideomycetes. Its description in RNAcentral is "sequence contains ITS1". The record is from RNAcentral. Lineage: Eukaryota; Fungi; Ascomycota; Dothideomycetes.
CCGAGUUAGGGUCUUCUGGGCCCGACCUCCAACCCUUUGUUUAUUCUACCCUGUUGCUUUGGCGGGUCCGUCCUUAGGGGCCGCCGGGGGUCUUAUGACCUCUGGUCCGCGCCUGCCAGUAGCCUUUUUAAAUCCUUUAUAAUUGUGAUGUCUGAGUACAAAAACAAAUCGUUAA